GCCCAGAUUUUGAUAAAAAAAGUUAUAGGUAAAUUUGUAUAGCCUUUUCAAUGCUCAUAACAGUUUCAGCCAUUAUUCCCCACAAGGAAGAAGAUUCCAACUGUUGCGCCGGUUGGAAAAUGAGAUGGCUCAAUGAGCUUGUUAUCCACAAAAGCAAAGAUCCAAAUUCCAAUUCUCUGCUUCUUCUUACGGA
This is a long non-coding RNA of Hibiscus syriacus, 193 nucleotides long. RefSeq lists it as uncharacterized. NCBI's taxonomy places the organism in Eukaryota, Viridiplantae, Streptophyta, Magnoliopsida, Malvales, Malvaceae. The record is from RefSeq and is a predicted model, not a curated record. The transcript has 3 exons.